CUGGGCGUAAGCGCACGCAGGCGGUCUGUUAAGUCAGAUGUGAAAUCCCCGGGCUUAACCUGGGAACUGCAUUUGAAACUGGCAGGCUUGAGUCUCGUAGAGGGGGGUAGAAUUCCAGGUGUAGCGGUGAAAUGCGUAGAGAUCUGGAGGAAUACCGGUGGCGAAGGCGGCCCCCUGGACGAAGACUGACGCUCAGGUGCGAAAGCGUGGGGAGCAAACAGGAUUAGAUACCCUGGUAGUCCACGCCGUAAACGAUGUCGACUUGGAGGUUGUUCCCUUGAGGAGUGGCUUCCGGAGCUAACGCGUUAAGUCGACCGCCUGGGGAGUACGGCCGCAAGGUUAAAACUCAAAUGAAUUGACGGGGGCCCGCACAAGCGGUGGAGCAUGUGGUUUAAUUCGAUGC
RNAcentral lists this ribosomal RNA (403 nucleotides) under Gammaproteobacteria bacterium. Its description in RNAcentral is "bacterial SSU rRNA". It matches the Rfam family "Bacterial small subunit ribosomal RNA", at positions 554 to 957 of the family's 1533-position model. The record is from RNAcentral. Lineage: Bacteria; Pseudomonadati; Pseudomonadota; Gammaproteobacteria.